GCCUGUGCUACGUCAGGCCCCAAAGCUCUAUCUCUUAAUCUUCGUUCACCAUCGCAUGUGCUACGUCACUUUGUUCACCAAAUAGGAUGACUACAGCAGUAAGCUCCGCAAAUAGCAUUAUUCCAGCACAAAAUAGAAAGUGAGCUCAACUUCCACUUACUUAUGCUUCCAAUUAUUUGUUAAUUGGCUUAACUUAAGUAAUUACAUGUAGGCUGCCUUUGUUUACUUUUAUAUGAUUAGGGAAUAAGAUUAUAUGAUAUAAGAUUAAGAGAGAUUGGAGUUCUGCACUAUGUUGUAUUUCAAAAAAAUUAGUUAAAAAGAAAUGUGAAGUUACUCAUAUGUAACUUUUUCUGCAAACGUAAAUUAGAAAACUUAAUUUUCUUUUACAUUAGAUAAAAAUUAUUUUAAAGUAAUCCUCGGCAACCCUUAAUUUCCUGACUAAUGAUUGUCAAUUUGUCGUGUUUCCAUCAUAUGGACAAUUGGAUAAUUGAAUUAAGUCCCAGCAAGAUUAGUACAUGAUUGAAUUAUUGAAAAUGUUGAAAGAAAAAUGGGAUUUGGUACUUCUGAUAUUUGAGCAAGCAGAAACUGAAGAAAGCAGCAAGGCAAAUUCAUUUAGUCUGUCUGAUCAGACAGCUCUUCGAGAAAUCAAAAUUUUGAAUCUUCAAUGACGGAAGGUUGCUUCUAUUCCCCCCCCCCCCCCCCCCCUCUCUGUGCGGAAUUACAUCCAUUAGUACUUGAGUUUCUAAUGAGUGUAUAUAGACGAUGGUAAGGAAGUUAAAAACAAGUGAUAAUGCAUGCAUAUAAAUUUCCUACGUCAUCGAAACCCUGAAUUUUACAAUUCUUCAAAGUUGUCCAUGGUUACUUUUAAGAGCUAAUCUUUGCUUGAUGCAAAUAUACCAAGUCUUGUUAUAUCAUCGAGCUGUUUAUCGUGUGUUGUAGAUUUUAUUUUUGCAAGUGUACGGAUCGUAACAAGUAGUAAAUAGUUCAGAUUGUCGAUCCCACGAGGACUACAUUCUAGCACUUAAUUCAAAUUUUCUUUAACCACUAUUUGAUGAGAUAAAAACUCGUAAAAUUUGAGAUUUAAAUAAAAAUACGAGAAAAUAAGUGAAUGCACGAUUAGUUGGAAAAUCAAAUAAUGAAUGGACGUUAGGCAGAAUAAUUUCACAUAUUGGUCACCUUUACAUCUUAAAUCAAAAUUCACAUCUAAUGUAGUGUUAGGUCGAAUUCUUCUAUUGUAUUCAAUUUACCCUUCUCGAGUUCUCAUUGAGUCUAUUUAACUAAUUAAAUUACAUAUCUCUAUGCAAAUCCAACUUAGUUAAACGAGUUCUUUGUCCUAGGAAUUCAAUUAUGAUCACAAUAAUUGGUAUAUGUAUCUCUACUCGUUAUACCAAUUUACCGAAUUUUACUAUAUGGCCUAAAUCUUAAACCCAUAUUUUUAUUCAUAAAGGAUUUACAAAAUUCAUCAAAUUAGUGAUCUAAUAAUUUAAUGCAUCCAAUCCAUAGCAAAAUCAACACAUCUUAAUAAAAAAAUAUAAAGGAUCUCAACUGGUUUCAUUAUUCACCAUAACAAUGAUUUAGCUAGUCAUAAUGUAAAAAAAGAAAAUUCAUAAAUUGUCAUAGAAUACAUCAUCAGAUUUUGUAUUAAAGGUGUAGAAGAAAAAAUAGAUCUUGCCCCAAGAAUUUCUUCCUUUUCCAAUCGAUGCUUUAUACCUUGAAUUUCUUGAUGUUUUCUCCCUUGAAUUUCUCCUUCGGUUCUCCAAUUGUGUUCUAUUGUCUCUCAAUGUGUGAAUACUCCUCAAUUCUCUUUUCUAGGGUUGUAUUUAUGACUUAUUCAAGCCUUAGAAGAGUUUUAUUGAGUUGGGCUUUUAAAAAGAUGAAUUUCACUUCAAAACCCUAUUUGACAGCAGUGAGGUGCUUAGACACUGCAAUUGGGCCCCUGAGCAUUGAAUUUCAAAGAAAAAUCAGAAACAUAGUGCUUGGGUGUUGUCAUCAGCUUUGAUUGCACUACACAACAUUCAAUCUUUUUGCCAUAACAAUUUUUUUGAUAUCCGAUUGAGGCGAUUCAAGAUGCGUUGAAAAUCUAACUCAAAAGGCUACAACUUUUCUUUAGAUACCAUUUUCAAAUUCAAUCAUUUACCAUGUCAAAAAUGGGUAUAAAUAUGAGUAUGAAAACUGUGCAUAUAUUUUUUCGGUUGAAACUUGAUGUGUGAUCAUACUUUGAUUAUAUUUCAUCAUUUUGAUGUCUUUCUUUAUCCAAUCGACUCCGAGCACUCUUAAAUCUUCAUUGUGAGGUCUAACAUAACUUUUGAGUAUUUACAUUUUGGCCCCCCAAACUUUGGAUCUUACUCUUCUUUCGAGUUUCUUGUACCAUCAUUGAAUUUUACCUAUUUAACAUCAAAUGCAACAAUUUAGACCAUAAUUCAUCCAAGAAGUAACUAAAUAUCAUCGUUUUAAGGUCUUGAAUAAGUGUAUAAAAUACACGUAUCAAAUACCCCAAAACUUAAACAUUUGUUUGUCCUCAAAUAAAGCUAUCAUAUAAAUAACUAAGUACACACAAGCAUGCAAAAUAUAAUUAGUUCGACAAUCAAAGCUUUUUACCUCAGAAUUCGAGAUUUUGAUGUUUAUUCUACAAACACGCUUCAUGUCACAAUACAAAACAAAUAUCUACUCUUCCAAUGCAAACCCAAUGUGUGUGUGUGAAGAAUUAAGUAAUCCAUCAUGACUACACAAGUUGUUUCAACUCCCAGUCCUUUACAGUUAUAUAUCCUUACAUUUCUCGUGUGAUUCACACACCCCGAAAUUUAUUCUUUUUUUUUAUCAUUCCUAGUGUUUAAUAUAAGGUUGAAUAUUUCAUUGCUAUCCUCAUCCUUAGCUUCAUCUUUGAUUGCCUUCUAAAUUAUCCCUGUAGCGAGUUUUAGGCUGAUGACUCCAAAGUCAGAUGACUUUAAGGCACCAUGUUUUAAGAUACCCUUACAGGUUUAAUUACUCGAGUCAUGAAGACUUCAAAGAAAAGUUUUUAGAUUUCAAAUGUAUAUGCAUUGAUUAGUGCGAUGCCCCUAUCACAUACUUAUUCAAACAAAUUGACAUUCAACUUAAGACUUUCGCCUUGUUUUAUCAUGUUAGUCUAAGACAGUCCACACAUAAGUUUUCGCCAUAGAAUCCAAAUUCACAUUUGUAUAUUCCUACAACUGUAAAGUCACCCCCAAACUAUACUAACUUUGGUCUAAGGAUAAAUAAUUUACUAUAGUUUAGAUAAAGCAUCUAUGUCUAAUUAAAUCAACACAUUUAACAAAUGAAUCAACUCGUUUCAUCAUAACGUCAAACUCAAUUCUAGUGCACGUAUAGCAUCAAUUUUUGUAAGAUUAGGUUUCAGUCAAUCUAGCACGCAUCAUAUCCACAGUUCAUAAAUCAACAGCAAAUCUCAAAGGAAAUCAUCAUUGUUAGCCAUAUUGUCCAACUCACACAAAAAUUUAGGUAAGCAAUUAAUAAUGUACCCUCCAAACUUAAUCUAAACACUGUCCUCAAUAUGAAAUUUAAAGGAAAAUGAGGAGGUUUCCUUGAAAUGUCAGGAUUGCCUAUAAUGUUGUGGUGCCUUGGUGUUGAAUUUGAUCAACUUUUCUUCCAUAUUCUCCACCAAACUUGAGAUUUAUCCCGGGUUCUCCUUAUCAAUAGUGGUUUAAGUGUUUUGCGAUGUUACGUCAUUGAAAAAUCAAAUUUGAAAUAUUAGAUGCAUGGAACAAGGUUUACUUAGCUCAAAUAUCUAAUAACUAACUUAGUUACUUAAUGACCUAAGGGUAAAAGGGAUAUGGACGAUGACUCCUAAAUAGACUAAUAAAUAAAUUAAAAUAUCUUAUAACUUGAAAAUAAAAUAAAAAAAGAAGAAAGCUUGAGUUGCCUCCCAAUAAGUGCUUCUUUAAAGUCAUUAGCUUGACUUUUGCAUAAGUGAUUCAUGGCAUUUUGAAUAUGGUUGUGAAGGUUCUGCUUAGCUUGCUUAAUUUGAUUUUAGUCCAUAUUUCACACAUCCUCCAAAAUUGUGCUUUGUUAUUUUAAAUAUGAUAUGACUUGCUUGAAUUGCUCAAUUUGAACUCAACUAAGAAUGCUUCAAUUUUUUCAUCAACUUUAAUCACAAAAUCAAUGAAGUUGGAGGUUUGCAUGCUAAUCACAUCUUCUUUGAAUGCCACUAAUUCAUUUGGAUCCUUCGUGAUUAAUUUAUUCGUUUCUACAUGUUCUUCUUCUUUAGUUGGUUCCUCAGGUUAAGUAAUGAAGAGAUAUUCCGUUGGCAUGCUACUUGGCUUUUCCGAAAUUAUUUGAUCUUCAAUUCUUUCAUCUUUGUCCAUGAUGAUGUCUCCCAUAAUCAUUUCACUGUAAUCAAAUUAUUCUUCAUAUGGAUAAUCAAAGAUAUAUUUCCUCACUUCCAUUGGAGUUGCCAAUAACAAGCAAUCUUUAGCAUAAUGAAUUGCACCACAAUAUUCACAAGUCGGUCUAAUCUCUCCAUAAACAAUAGAUUUGAUAUUUAAUCCUUUAAGGAAGCCAUCCUUAUCAAAUUCAAUAGGCUGAUUGUAUCCCUACUUUUUAAGUUCUUGUCUAAAGAGAACUUCUCCAAAGAGCAUUUCAUAUUCAUUUAAGUCGGGAUCAAUUAUUGUGAAUUUUUUUGACCUCUUGUUUCUUUUUAUUCGUUGUCAAAGGAGGAAGGAAAAAUAAAUAGUUCAAUUGAAAAAAUUAAGAAAGACAAAAAAAUCAAAUAAAAGCAAGAAAUAAUUAAAACCAAUAUUAAAUAAAAAUAGUCUCAUGCAACAACGCCAAAAACUUGUUGUCAAUUUUGUAUCCCGCAAGCAUACGGAUCGUAACAAGUAAUCGUUCCCACAAGGACUACUAUUUAACAAUUGGUUCAAUUAUUCCUAACUUUAAUUUGAUCGAAAACAAACAAAGAAUUAGAUGUUUUGAUUUUUGAUACAACUGUUUGAAAAUAUGUGUGGAUGCACACAAAGAGUGAUUUAGAACUUAAAUAGUGAACAAAUAUUAGGGUAGAAUAAUUUCACCAAUUGGUCACAUUUACAUCUUAAAUUAAGAUUCACAUCUAAUGUAGUCUUUGGUCGAAUUCUCCUAUUAUAUUCAUUUUACCCCUCAUGAGUUCUUAUUGAACUUAUUUAACUAAUUAAAUUCCAUAUCUAUAAGCAAAUCCAACUUAGUUGGUUCUUUGUCCUAGGAAUUCAACCGCAAUAAUUAGUAUAGGUAUGUCUACUCAAUAUACCAAUUUAUCGAAUUUUACUAUAUCCCUAAUUUUAAAGGAUUCAUGAAAUCAUCAAAUUAGUGAUCAAAUAAUUUAAUGCAUUCAAUCCAUAGUAAAAUCAACACAUGGAAAAAUUAAAAAUCAAGAAUCUUAAUAAAAAAUAUAAAGGAUUCCAAUUGGUUACAUUAUUCACCCUAACAAUAGAUUUAGCUAGUCAUAAUGAAAAAGGAAAGAUCUACAAAUUGCCAUAGAAUAUAUCAUUGGAUUUUGUAUCAAAAGUAUAGAAAAAAAGUAGAUCUUGCACCAAGAAUUUCUUCAUCUUCAAUUGAUGCUUUACAUUCUGAAUUUCCCGAUGUUUUCUCCCUUGAAUUCAUCCUUUGAUUCUCCAAUUGUGUUUUUUUGCCUCUCAAUGUGUAUUCACGAUGUUUUCUCCCUUGAAUUCAUCCUUUGAUUCUCCGAUUGUGUUCUCUUACCUCUCAAUGUGUGAAUUCCCCCAUAAUUCCCUUCUCUGAAGUUGUAUUUAUGUCUUACUCCAACCUUAGAAGAGUUUUAAUUGAGUUGGGCUUUUAGAAAGAUUAAUUUCACUUGAAAAUCCUAUUCGACGGCAACGAGGCUCCUAGGCCCUGCGAUUGGGCGCCUGAGCGUUGACUUUCAGAAGAAAAAUCAAAAGCAUAGCGUCUGAGCGUUGUCGUCAGUUUCGAUUGCACUACAUAUUAUUCAAUCUUUUUAUCAUAAUUUUUUCUUUCAAUGUUCAAUUGAGGCAAUUCAAGAUGUGUUGGAAAGCUAACUCAAAGGGUUACAACUUUUUUUCAGGUAUCAUUUUCAAAUUCAAUCAUUUGCUAUGUCAAAAAUGGAUCUCAAUAUGAGUAUGAAAACUUUGCAUAAUUUUUUUGGUUGGAACUUAAUGUGUGAGUAUACUUUGAUUAUAUUUCAUCUUUUUGAUGUCUUUCUUUAUCCAAUUGACCCUAGGCACUCUUGAGUCUUCAUCGUGAGGUCCAACAGAACUUUUGAGUAUUUACAUUUUGGUCCCCGAAAUUUGGAUCUUACUAUCUUCCGAGUUUCUUGUACCAUUAUUGAAUUUUACCUAUUUAACACAAAAUGCAGCAAUUUGGCGCAUAGUUCAUCCGAAAAGUAACUAAAUAUCAUCAUUUUAAGGUCUUAAAUAAGUAUAUAAAAUACACUUAUCAUCGUGUAUCCUAUAUACAAUCUCAAUAAUGAGACAAAAAAAUCUAUCUUUAAAGAUAUGUUAAGAAAUUUAGACGUAAAUAUGGAAUUAACACGAUAACAAACAACAUGUCACUUUUAUUGUCUCUAGAUGACUAAGGUAAUUAAUCAAAUCAAUGUAGGUAUUUGGUUUAAAGAUUGAAAAUUUUAGUUAAGUACAAACUUGAAAAUGUUUUUGUGUUGAGUUCAACCAAAUAUUCGGACUUGAUUAGAUAAUCAAAUUAUAAAAAUAAAUAGACUAAAUUGUUCUACUCUUCUAGUAGAUAGUCGUAGUAUAUUUAAAAUCUCAACCAAUUUCCCAUGAAUGAGAAAUUGUGGUCAAAAUUUGGAAGAAAAAAAGAGGAAAAAUUAUAUAGCACUAUCGCUGGAACAGUAGGCUAGCACCAAGUGAGCUGCAAAGCUAUCACUCAAGCUACAGGCUAGCAAUAGACAGUAUUUCUAUCGAAAAUAUGGCACUGGCACUCGAGCGAGAGGCUAACGACAACAAGGGAUGCAUACCUUCUUGAAGGUUACUGAAUUUUAGGGCAUGUUUCUUCACACAACCUCUUCUCUUCUAUAAAUAGGACACUUUGGCCAUCCAUUAUGCAUCCAAUAUCAUUUUUCAUUAAGCAUUAAAUCAAAAAUGUCUUGCAAAACCUCUUCAAAAAUCAUUCCAAAAUAAAUUUCUUGUAGAGAGAAAAAAUUUCGUUCGAGUCCGAUGUUGCUUAUGGUUUUAAAUGCUUCCCCCACAAGUAAUAUCCGUUGUAUAUUGGGAGACAAGUGCUUUAAUCUAUUAACACCAUUGUGGGACAAUUUUAUCUUAAGGAAAAAGUGUUAAUCACUUGCCUUGAAUUUCGUUUCCUCACUUUCAUUUCAUUGCAAGGUUACAUAGAGUUUUAUUGCGCUCUUGAGAAUUAAAUUUAACAAGUAUUUUGUAUAUGGACAAACAACCAUUUCCCUACACAUCUUCCCAACAAUCUUAAGACAAAUAUUUUGUGAUUUUUUGUUGAAAAAAAACCCUUUCUUCAUCUUUUAAUCAACCUUCACGUGCAUUUCCUUUUGUUUUCUUUUUUGUGCAUUGAACUUCUAUUUAUGUAAUAUAAAUAAAUACCGUUGAGACUAUUUUGAGUCAAGCAAUGAAUGAUACAAAUCAUGUUCCGCCUUUGACUAUACUAGUAUCAAACUCUCAUAUCCCAGAUGAGGGAAUAUCGAAAAAGUUUGGAGGUGUUGAUUUCAAAAAAUAGUAAUAAAAGAUGUUGUUCUAUCUUACUACUUUGAAUUUAGCAAAGUUCUUAAAAGAAACCGCAACUAUAAUACAAGAGGGAAAAAAUAAUCGUGAGUCAAUUAUUAAAUUGGAUACAUGGGAACACUCGGAUUUCCUUUGUGAAAACUAAAUUCUAAAUGAAUUGGACAAUACACUUUAUGGAGUGUACAGUUCGAAGGACUUGGUCAAGGAUUUAUGGGAGUUAUUGAAGAAGAAAUACAAAAUUGAAGAUGCCGAGACAAAGAAGUUAAUUGUCAGCAAGUAUUUUGUAAAGGCUCGGAAAACUUUAUAGAAUGAAAUUUAUUUGUUUACACGUUAUAUUUAGAAACGUUGGGGACUAAAAUGAAAUAGAUUUUAAACUCCUAUUUUAUUUAUGUCAAAUAAUUAGAUAUUGAUGGAACGAGAUUUAGUAUAUCAAUAUUGGACUCAUUUUGUAGGUCGUAAUUAAUUAGAAGUCUUCCACUUGAGAAAAACUAAUUUGGAUAUGUUAAGCCUAAGAAAUUGAAGUUUAAAGAAAUUAUCAUUUAUUAGUAUUUUAUUUAAAUUGGAAUUUGCAAGAGAGCCAGCCACAUGCAGUGGUGGAUCCAGCACCUGGCGAGUACAAGCGAUUGCGCUUACUAGAUCCAAAUAAAAAGUUUUUUGUUAACAGUAGAUAAAAAUUUUAGAUUAUAUAUCUGAUAGUUCAUUUUAUUUCUUAACAUGUCUUGUAAUUCAGUUGGUUAGAGCUUCCACAUACAAAUUGAAUGUCCAAGGUUCAAAUACCUUCUAAACCAUAUUAUUGUGCAAGUUUUCUAUUUUUACAAAUUUUUACCAAAACUGAUGCCAAUAAGGAGAAGAUUCGAUCGACCCUGUGACCUUUCUUUAAGAUUUACAAACCUUGACCUUCAUGGCACUUGUUAAGUUGCGGCACGAAAUUUAACGGAGUAAUAUAUAUUCCAUUUUAGUGGUUUUAAUGCAACAACAAGGAUUCGAACCUUUGCUCUUCCUUUGAAUUAUACAAAAUAUGGACACUAUGUCAUUUGGUGAAUAUCAUUAUUAUUUAUAACAAAAUUAUAUAUGUUUAGUUUUAGCAAAAUAAUUAUUAUAUUUAAAUUUUAAUAUUUUAUUACGCUCAAUGAUCGAUGACCACUAGUGCUCACUGAAAAUUCUGGAUUUGCCAUGUGCCACGUAUAGGGAUGUACAGAUUUCGCUAUUAGAUGUUAGUUGUUGGUCAUGAACAGUUGCGGAUGCAGGUGGCCACCCUAGCUGGAUUUGUCGGAACCGUCGAUCGUCGAGCGUCUCUCAGUGGUAAGUCUCAGAUGAUAGAUUUUGCCGCCCUAGCUGGAUUCCUUUGCUGUUGGUGGUUGUGUUGGCUGUUGGAGUAUUGCUGUGUUAGGCCACAUUUUUUAAAAUCAGGCCCAAAUUAAAAAUCCUAAAUCAGCAUUCACCCAUUAUGGACCAUAAGGUCUCUUCCAGUCCACUACAAUUACAACAGAGGGUAGACCGACAGAGGCAAUGGAGUCUCCAGCGACAAGCAACACUUUCCCGAAUCAGUCCUAUUUCUGAUUUCCUUCCCGUUAAUUAAAUCGGUAGCUAGAGAGAUCAGAGAAGAGCAAACCCUUCAUGAGUUCUUCUCCCAAUUCCUUCCCGUUAUUUAAUUUUUCUUACAUUAUUUACAUGUUUUUCCCCCAAUUCCUUUCCCAAAAUCACCAUUCAUUCACCCAUUAUUUACAUGUUUUUUUUCAUGGCAUAUUUAUUAUUUAAUUAUUGGUUUUUUUAGUAGUUUAUUAUGCUCUAUGUUUGAUUUUUAGGGUUUUGAAUUGUUUCGGCUUCGAUUCGAGGCUUAUUGUUUGGGGAUUUUGUUACAAAUUAUUGAAAGUUUUUGUAAUGCCAAAGUGAUCCAGUGCUUAUUAUCAACUCAAAUGACUUUUGAAGCCUUAAAGUGAGUUUCAAUUGAAGAUGAAAGUAGAUCAAAGUUUAAUUAUCUAUUUUAUUUCUACGUUCUUCGCUACUUUUAGAGCAGAAGUUUUGAAAAGUUUGGUUAACUUAGCCUAAUCGAGUGUUGUUUCCGGCAUAAGAGCAUAUCUUAUUACAUGCCACUAGGUCAAACAUUUGAAAAGUACUUGUGAGCUAGUGACAAGGAGAACAUGUUCAGAUGGAAAAUCUUUUUCGUAUGAACUUGAACUUCUUGAAUUUGGCAGUGGAAUGAAUACAUGUUAUUUAUUAUAAUAGUAUAUCUAUUUAAUGUGUCAUUGAGGAUUUUUAUCAAAAUGGGGUGGUCAAUGCUACAUCUAAUUGUACUUGCUUGACUUUCUUUGUAUGUCUGUCAUUUGAUUCAUUUCUUCCGCAUGAGUUUCAAUGGUUGAUCAUAUCUUGACUUUCUAAUUAAAAUUUCACGUGUAAAUAUCUAGCAUCUUAAAAUGUUAAAUGGGCUAGCCUUAAAUGGCUUUUCAACGAUUGACCGCCGAUCGAAUCGAGCUUUUAAUAUCGUUGAUUGUUGACGGUCAACGGUCAAAGUCAACAUCCGCCCUUGCUGAACAUUGAUGUUGGAUUCGCCCCUGGUCAUGAAUCUACUUUUGAUUGUGGUAGGUAUUAAUUAUAUAUUCUAUUCCACUUCAAAUACCACUCAUUUUUUCAUCAGUAGUGUACUUACAAGUUUUUAUUUCCUAGAAUCCAUUUUACUUAAAUGAAGUUUUGCUAGAAACAGAAAAGUCAUAAUUGCAUGCCGUGCUAACCUAUACAUAGUACAUCCAAAUUCCAUGAAGAGUCUAUUCAUAUUUAAUUUCCUUACUUUUACACAACUUUGGACUUCUAACCACACACAAAUUCAUAGAAGUAUAGGUUAUAGUAUUGUAUAUGUAGUCAUGUUAAGUCAAUCAUAUUCACAUAGAAAAGAAAAAGUUAAGCUAGAGAGAAAGAUAAGCAUAGAAAAAUGGGGGGUUUCACGCGUAUUAUUUUGCAUUCUUUUACAACAUUUCAAUAAAAUGAGGUAAGAUACUUUUAUGCAAGUUGUUUUUUUCUAUAUAAUUUUAUAAUUAGAAAUUUAUCCAUGAAUUGCUAAAGGACCUUUGGGUUCUUUAGAAAGAUAUAUGAAAUCUUUCGUGAAUUUAAGGGGUCUAAGAAAAGAGUGAUACGAAGUGUAAAUUUUAUCGUUAUAUAAUUGUCUAUGGAAACUGUACGUAUCUUACUGGGUAUUUUUUAAUACUCACUCUUACAAUAACUUUUCGGGUUAGUUCGAGUCAAUUAGAACUAUGACAAGAUGGUGAUGCAAAUUGCCAAGAGGAUUCGAAAAACGAAAAACAUUAAGUUUUCUAUCUUUCAAUUUAUUAGUUUAGCUUGUUCAAAGACAUGUUAUUUAAUUAGCAAGGAAUUUUUUUUUUGAAAGAUACAAUUUCCAUGUAUUAAUUUAAAUUUGUGAAUUUUUAGUUUUUUUUAAAAAGAAAUUUAUUUUUAUCUUUCCACAUUUAAUACAAAGAAAAGUUAGUUUUUGGUAACACUUCAAGAUUUAUAAAAAUUUGAGGUGUUAUGGUUUGGUAUCAAAGGGUAGGUCUACCUUUCUGUAGACCUUUUUUUUCUUUUUUUUACUAGUUUCAAAUAAAUGAAUUUUAAUAGGAAUUUGUCAAUUAUAAAUAAGUGUUUUAAGAGAUCCAUAGCUCCUAAUUAUUGUUUGAGUUUUAUUGAUUUCCAUAUUCGCAAAAUUGAAAGGUUUUGUAAAAAAUAUUUAAACUAUCUAAGAAGAGCGUGGGAUUUAAGCAACCCUAUUGUGACCCCCCUUUCAUUUGGAAGCUUUUUGAUUGCACGUUAUUCAAAUUUACAAGAUGAAGAACAAUAUUUCAAAUUAUUCCAAAUUUAAGAAAAUUCUAUUUUUAAAAACUUCUAUUUUGAGAAAUUCAUAUUUAAAAAAGUGUAUUUUCAUAUAAGUAUUAGGAGUUUAAGUACAAUGUGAAAAUUUUAAAGUCUUAAACAUGCAAUGAUGUGAAGAAUUUUUGGCACGCGACGCUCACUAUUCGACCAAUCUCCAAUUGAUCCAAGGUAAUAAAUGAAAUGUUAUUUGUUUAUCAUGAUUAUGAGUCGUCCUGCUUUAUGUUAUGAAAUAUUACAAGUAUGUCAAAGCCUAGUAUCUAGAACCUUUCAACUAAUUGGGAUAAUUUCGAGGACGGAAUUCUGUUAAGGAGGGAAGAUUUUAACGUCUCGAAAAUUUUAGAGAAUAAAAUUUAUUUGUUCUAUAUGUUAUACAUUUAUAUUUUGAAAGUUACGGAAUUAAAGUGAAAUAGUUUAAUUUUAAUUUUAUUUUGGCCAAAUAAUUAGAUUUUUAUAGUGGUGAAAUAAGUAUAUCGAUAUUGGAUUUUUUUUUUUUUUUGGUAGCUUGUAAUUAAUUAGACAUCUUUAAUGCAAGAAAAGUUAUUUUGGAUUAGACUAAAUCAAGUUAAGUCAGAUUAAAAGAAUAAAAUGUUAAUAGAGUUGGUGGAGGCUUACGAGAUUAAUUAAGUAAAAUUAUUUUCCUCUUUUAAUUUCUACCGCACGUGAUUUAUAUGAAACCAAUAGUACGGUACAAUUCAAAUUUCUUUUUGAAACCAAGUACAAGUUGGCAAAGUGUCCUAUUUUUAAUGGGAUGAUUGUACCGGGAAAACCAAUUGUAGAAUAUACUACUAAUUCUACCAUUUGAACCAAUUCUUAUUCAAAUUCCUUGUAUUACACAACUUCUCACUUCUUGUUGCAUACAAACAAUUGAGAAUUUCAAUUAUAAAUACUACAAGAAUUUUCAUUAUUUCACCACAGAAAAUAAAGAUAGCCAUGGUAGAGAGAGGAGAGGAAAAAGUAAAGAAAAAUAAGAGAAGAAUUUUUACGUGCAAGAUUUUAUUCUUUUCAACGUUUCAAAAUCAAGGUAAGAUACUUUAUGCAAGUGGUUUGAUUCCGUAUAAUUUUAUAUUCAGUAAUUUAUGCAUGAAUUGCCAAUAAAGUUUUGGAUUCUUUAAAAAGAGGCAUGAAAUCUUUCAGGAAUUUAAGAGAACAUUGGAUGGGCGUGUCGCUUGGUCACCGAUAUUCUAUAAGAGAAGAGUGGUAUGAAUUGUUUAUUUAUUGUUAUAUAAUUGUGUAUGAAAAUUGCGCUUAUCUUACUAGUUUUUUUUUUUUUUUUAAAUACUUACUCUUACAAAUUUUGUAACUUAGUUCAAUUGAUUGGAACUGUGUUGGGAUGCUAACGCAGACUGCCAGUAGAAUUCGAAAAUGAAAAACAUUAAGUUUUUCUAUCUUUAAAUUUAUUAGUUAGUUAAAUACGUUCAAAGUCAUGUUAUUUAAUUAGUUUGUUCAAUAUGUUUUUUUUUUUAAAGAUACAAUUUCUAUAUUUAGUUUAAGUUAUGGAUAUUUCAGCAUUUUAUUUUUAAAGAAAUUUAUUUUUAUCGUCACACAUUUGAUACAAAGAAAAGUGAGUUUUUUGUAACACCUCAAGAUUUAUAAAAAUUUGAGGUGCUACAUUUUUUUAUUACAAAAUAGUAGAUUCCAAGAUUGUGAAAAGUACAAAAACUUCAAAUUCUACUUCAUGAUGCGUACAAAAAAAUGAAAUUUAGUGAAUCCUUUCAAGUUGCGGACAAUUGAGAAACUCCCUCCUUUUGGAGAAUUUUCAAGAUCAAGCAAAAAUCAAAGAGAUGAACUUGAAAGAAUUGAUAAUCCAUUAGAGGAUUGAGGAAGUCAACAAAAAAAAAUCGAAAGAAAAUCUAUUGUUUAACUUGGAUCCAACUUUAUUGAAACUAGUUCGAAGGUUGACAAAAAGAAGAGUAAGAUCUCCGAUGAUGCACAAAAAAUAGAUAACUCCGAGAAUGCUAAAAAAUUUAAAGGCAGUUGUUACAAUUGUUAAAAAAUUGAACAUUGUUAAAACAAGUGUCUAAAGCUAAAGAAGACUGCACAAGCAAAUGAGAUUGAAAGAGACGCCCAAUUUGAAGAGGUUCACGAGAUGAGUCUAUCUGCGGUUGUUUCUAAAUGCAACAUGAUUAGUAAUCCACGGGAUUAGUGGGUCGACACUUGUGCAACCCCUAUAUUUGUGUAGAUAAGACCAUGUUCUCAAACUAUUAUGAAGCAAGAGGAGAACAAUUGUUCAUAAGAAAUGUUGCAAGUUUGAAGGUUGAAGGACUUCGAAAGAUCACACUGAAAAUGACAAAUGACUUCUGAGAAAGAAUUAGUACUCAAUAAUGUCCUCAAUGAGCUGAACAUUCGCAAGAACCUAGUUUCAGGGUCUCUACUUAACAAGAAAGAUUUUAAACUUGUUUUUGUAUCAGACAAGUUUGUACAUACCAAAAUUGAUAUGUAUGUUGGUAAUGUUCAUCUUCGUGAAGGAAUGUUCAAAAUGAACGUCCUAAAAGUUUUACCAAAAAUCAUUAUGAAUAAAGAUUCUAAUGCUAUUUAUAUACUUGAGUUGCCUUGUUUAUGGUAUAGUAGAUUAAGACACGUUAAUCAAUCACAAAUCUUUGCACAAACUUAUGAAUCAAAGUUUAAUUAUG
This 14170-nucleotide long non-coding RNA is filed under the name Olea europaea subsp. europaea. The record is from RNAcentral. Lineage: Eukaryota; Viridiplantae; Streptophyta; Magnoliopsida; Lamiales; Oleaceae.